This 498-nucleotide ribosomal RNA is filed under the name uncultured bacterium. RNAcentral describes it as "partial 16S ribosomal RNA". It matches the Rfam family "Bacterial small subunit ribosomal RNA", at positions 899 to 1397 of the family's 1533-position model. The record is from RNAcentral.
ACUCAAAUGAAUUGACGGGGGCCCGCACAAGCGGAGGAACAUGUGGUUUAAUUCGAUGAUACGCGAGGAACCUUACCCAGGCUCGAACGGCUAAUGAAUAAUGUUGAAAGAUAUUAGCUAGCAAUAGCAUUAGUCGAGGUGCUGCAUGGUUGUCGUCAGCUCGUGCCGUGAGGUGUCGGCUUAAGUGCCAUAACGAGCGCAACCCUUAUCUUUAGUUACUAACAGGUUAAGCUGAGGACUCUAGAGAGACUGCCACCGUAAGGUGUGAGGAAGGUGGGGAUGACGUCAAAUCAGCACGGCCCUUACGUCUGGGGCGACACACGUGUUACAAUGGGUGGUACAAAGGGCAGCUACACAGCGAUGUGAUGCUAAUCUCUAAAACCACUCUCAGUUCGGAUUGGAGUCUGCAACCCGACUCCAUGAAGCUGGAUUCGCUAGUAAUCGCGCAUCAGCCAUGGCGCGGUGAAUACGUUCCCGGGCCUUGUACACACCGCCCGU